UACGGGGGGGGCAAGCGUUGUUCGGAAUUACUGGGCGUAAAGGGCUCGUAGGCGGCCAACUAAGUCGGACGUGAAAGCCCUCGGCUUAACCGAGGAACUGCGUCCGAUACUGGAUGGCUAGAGUGUGGGAGAGGGAUGCGGAAUUCCAGGUGUAGCGGUGAAAUGCGUAGAUAUCUGGAGGAACACCGGUGGCGAAGGCGGCAUCCUGGACCGGUAUUGACGCUGAGGCGCGAAAGCCAGGGGAGCAAACGGG
Molecule: ribosomal RNA, 253 nt
Filed under: uncultured bacterium
Lineage: Bacteria
Description: partial 16S ribosomal RNA
Rfam family: Bacterial small subunit ribosomal RNA
Source: RNAcentral